UAAGAAUUUAAAAGUCGAACAGACUUAUUGUUAAGAAUACUGCUUCUUAAAAUUUUCUUAAUUCAACAUCGAGGUCGCAAAAUACAAUAUAGAUAUGAACUCCCCAUUUAAAUUACGCUGUUAUCCCUAAGGUAACUUAAUCUUACUAUCCCAUAUAUUGAGGGUCUAAAAUUACAUAAAUAAAUGAAUAUUUAAACUAAAGUUUAUUAUUUAGCAACCACCCCAGCAAAAUAUAACUAAAUAUCAAAAAAUAUUAUUAAUAAAACUUAAUGACAUAAGAUUAUAUAAAGUUCUAUAGGGUCUUAUCGUCCCAAUAACUUUAUAAAGCAUUUUAACUUUAAAUUUAAAUUUUAACACUUAAAGAAAUAAAAUAUAAAUCUCAUACAUCCAUUCAUACAAGCUUUCAAUUAAAAAACUAAUUACUAUGCUACCUUUGCACAGUCAAAAUACUGCAGCCAUUUAGAAAUUUAUUAACCAUA
Molecule: ribosomal RNA, 479 nt
Filed under: Nesophrosyne sp. 220 GMB-2012
Lineage: Eukaryota; Metazoa; Arthropoda; Insecta; Hemiptera; Cicadellidae
Description: partial 16S ribosomal RNA
Source: RNAcentral